UACAGAGGCGGCAAGCGUUGUUCGGAAUUACUGGGCGUAAAGGGCGCGUAGGCGGUCCUGUAAGUCCCGUGUGAAAUCCCCCGGCUCAACUGGGGAAUGGCACGGGAGACUGCGGGGUUUGAGUUCGGGAGAGGGAAGCGGAAUUUCGGGUGUAGCGGUGAAAUGCGUAGAUAUCCGGAGGAACACCGGUGGCGAAGGCGGCUUCCUGGACCGACACUGACGCUAAGGCGCGAAAGCUAGGGGAGCAAACAGG
Molecule: ribosomal RNA, 253 nt
Filed under: uncultured bacterium
Lineage: Bacteria
Description: partial 16S ribosomal RNA
Rfam family: Bacterial small subunit ribosomal RNA
Source: RNAcentral